UCCUACGGGAGGCAGCAGUGGGGAAUAUUGCACAAUGGGCGCAAGCCUGAUGCAGCCAUGCCGCGUGUAUGAAGAAGGCCUUCGGGUUGUAAAGUACUUUCAGCGGGGAGGAAGGCGUUGAGGUUAAUAACCUCAGCGAUUGACGUUACCCGCAGAAGAAGCACCGGCUAACUCCGUGCCAGCAGCCGCGGUAAUA
RNAcentral lists this ribosomal RNA (196 nucleotides) under Enterobacter asburiae. RNAcentral describes it as "partial 16S ribosomal RNA". It matches the Rfam family "Bacterial small subunit ribosomal RNA", at positions 337 to 525 of the family's 1533-position model. Lineage: Bacteria; Pseudomonadati; Pseudomonadota; Gammaproteobacteria; Enterobacterales; Enterobacteriaceae. The record is from RNAcentral.